UCUUUCCACACAAAGUGGACACCGUAUUGCACCAAAAACAGCCUCCAGAUUGAUGAUGAAAAUGUCAACCCACUGAAUGGAGACAGCGGUGACUGUGGUGUGGUGACAGACAAAGUGUAUACAGCACCAACUGGCUCUGUGACCUUUACAUUUAAGACUGAUUUUAUUACCCAGACUGGCCAAUUCGACAUCCUUCUGACGGCAUUCUCCGAUAGUCCGUGCGAAUACGGCCGAUUCAAGUGUAACAACGACCACUGUGUCAGCCCGGACCUCAAAUGUAACGGCUACAACGACUGCGGUGACAACUCGGACGAGAACACUGACUGUGGUUCACUGGGAACAGGCCCUAUAGCCGGCAUUGCUGUAGGCGCCAUAGUUUUCAUCGUGAUCGUGGUGGUCCUGGUUCUCGUCGUCAGACACAGGAGAAGGCACUGCGUUACUGAUACCCACUGUCACUCCGGCCCACCAGCGUGUGCUCCAGCAAGCUACCCUUCUCACUUGCAAUAUGGGUACUGAGUCACAGCAAUCUACCCUUCCACCAUGUGCUAUAGACAGACAUUCAUACUCGCAUCAGUGCACACAUGGAUCAGUCGAUUUCGGUCAUGAGAUUCCAGUUUUAAUUUCCUGUGUUCUUGCUCAAAAAACUCAACAAUGACCACAAUGUGCAUUGCUGUGUCAUCCAUAAUCUUCACCGAGGAAUAUAUAAAGUUGGGAUCUGUUGUAACCAUAACUUUAGUUUUUGUUGUCAUUAAAUCCAAAUUGGUGGUGUUGAUUAAUGA
Haliotis rubra (blacklip abalone) is the source of this 779-nucleotide long non-coding RNA. RefSeq lists it as uncharacterized. The record is from RefSeq and is a predicted model, not a curated record. Lineage: Eukaryota; Metazoa; Mollusca; Gastropoda; Lepetellida; Haliotidae. The transcript has 4 exons.